RNAcentral lists this ribosomal RNA (259 nucleotides) under uncultured bacterium. RNAcentral describes it as "partial 16S ribosomal RNA". It matches the Rfam family "Bacterial small subunit ribosomal RNA", at positions 524 to 777 of the family's 1533-position model. The record is from RNAcentral.
UACGAAGGGGGGCUAGCGUUGCUCGGAAUGACUGGGCGUAAAGGGCUCGUAGGUGGCCAACUAAGUCAGACGUGAAAUCCCCUCGGCUUAACCGGGGGAACUGCGUCUGAUACUGGAUGGCUUGAGUUUGGGAGAGGGACGCGGAAUUCCAGGUGUAGCGGUGAAAUGCGUAGAUAUCUGGAGGAACACCGGUGGCGAAGGCGGCGGUCCUGGACCAACACUGACACUGAUGAGCGAAAGCCAGGGGGAGCAAAACGGG